ACGCUCGACACCUACGGGAGUCAGCAGUGAGGAAUAUUGGUCAAUGGACGCAAGUCUGAACCAGCCAUGCCGCGUGCAGGAUGACGGCUCUAUGAGUUGUAAACUGCUUUUGUACGAGGGUAAACGCAGAUACGUGUAUCUGUCUGAAAGUAUCGUACGAAUAAGGAUCGGCUAACUCCGUGCCAGCAGCCGCGGUAAUCUGAGCGGGCUGGCAAGGC
RNAcentral lists this ribosomal RNA (218 nucleotides) under uncultured bacterium. RNAcentral describes it as "partial 16S ribosomal RNA". It matches the Rfam family "Bacterial small subunit ribosomal RNA", at positions 328 to 539 of the family's 1533-position model. The record is from RNAcentral.